GUGCAUUCGUCGCACGCAGCUAGAUCGUCAUCUUCAGUUUGCCGGUCCAGACUUGCUUUUGCACAGCCGAAUCGCUCGUCGUCAUCGGGCAUUCGCUAUUCGUCAAUUCGCCGCUAUUUCCUUUCAAGUAACCGAAGCAGAGCCACGUGUGUCAACUAUACCUGUAGGUUCGUAGCGGCAUCAGUUCAAAAUAUAGAUCGCCGUGUUCAGUUUGUGUAACAUGAUUUGGUAAACAAGCUUAAAUUUGAUAAUUGAUGGAAUCCCGGCGCCCUCGCGAGAUAUAGCCAUACAGAGCAAGAAGCAGAAGAAAAGGAUAAUUAAUAUAAUAAUCGUAAACGCGUGGCUCGACGUAAAAAUUGCUUAUUGAAGUAACAGCAGCCGGUGAAUAUCGAAGCUGAUUACAGAAACCAACUUCAACAACGUUGAUAGACGUGGUUUACUGGAUUGAAAGACCCGGUCACUAAAUCUUAAAAAACAUUAUGUGGAACAGACUACGGCAAGAUUGAUUGUCAUUACAAGUGAAUAUCUAUAUUAAGUGGUUCUAGCAAUCAAUGCUGGAAAACAAAAUGCAGAUGCUGAGCACGUCAGAAUCUUGUAGAAGAACGAAAAAUAGAUACUUUUGAAAUCAUUCCUGAUUAUACUAUGAUCCUACUUUCACUUUGAGGGACAGACUACAUCGCAGCACUAUUGACCGCUUCGAGCAAUGAUCUGAACUAAGUAACCCGAUCAAUCGAUGUUCGAGAACAAAGUGAAGAGUAAACCAACUGCUACAGUGAAGACAAU
This 783-nucleotide long non-coding RNA is filed under the name Neodiprion pinetum (white pine sawfly). RNAcentral describes it as "uncharacterized LOC124215638, transcript variant X1". Lineage: Eukaryota; Metazoa; Arthropoda; Insecta; Hymenoptera; Diprionidae. The record is from RNAcentral.